AAGUCAUCUGUUGCUUUUCUGUGCUGCAAGACCAGUGCUGAAUCAUUUCAACAACUGUACUAUAUGUUUCAAAAAUAUGUAGAAAAAUUACAAUUCUUCAAACAGAAGAAGCAGAGUUCUGGUUCCAUGAUGGAGUGCUGGAAAAAGAAGACAAAGCAAGGAAAUACCAGAUCCAGUCUCCUUUCUCCUUCCUACCAUGCCAGAGCCGUGCCACAGUAGCAGUUUGGGUUGCUCCAAACCAGCUGGCAAAGAAAAGCAUCCAUAUGACGGCCGUGCGGGAUGGCAAGGGGGUGGUGGGGGCUGGCGAGGACCACACUCUCCGGGGUAGCUGCUUUUGGGCAAGCUGCAAUCUGGCCCUCAGCGUGCACCUGCCCGCAGCGAGGGUCUGACAGCAUCGCUGCCAGGGGGGAGCCCGCAGGAGGGCAGAAGGCACUGGGGGCCACGUCCUCAGCUGCUGCUCCUCUCCAGCGGGACAAUGAAAGCCAGUCCUGCUUUCAUCAGGUGAGGAACAGAGCCUGAAGGCUAACUCAGUGAAUUUUUCCCUAAUCCAGUUUAUCAGAGGGUGAAAUUAGCCUCUCCCCCUAGACAAACGUGCUGCCAAGGCUGAGCACUUGCUUCUCUGGAGCACAAGCCCCUCUGGACCUUUUCCCUCCACUCCCUGGGCUGCUCAGUGCGCUGCACCCUGCAGCUUUGUGCUCCUCAGCUGUGUUUUCCUCCUCCAAACCCCUGAAGAAAGGGGUCAUGCUGUCUGCCAAUCUCUCUCCAGAAGAUGCUGCACACUGUCUCCCUGGGGCUGGGUUUUGUCCAGGUGCCAUAGCCCAAACGACAGCUUGUAGGGCCACUGGGGUAAAAUGCUGCCCAUCCAGCCUAUCGAGGGACCCUGUUUUACACAUUUGGUCCUGCAUGGGGUAUAAAUGCUCAUCGAAAUGACAAAAGAGGUGCUAUCCUAUUGCCUUACGCAGAUGGGAAACCUACUUCAUUGCCCAUACUUCUUUUGAGCGAUUCACCUAGUUCAUCCGCAUAAAAAUGUAUGUCCCAUGAACCUUAGGUCUCCUGUGGGCAGCUCACUGGGGACACUUCACAAAUCUGUCUGGUGGAGACUUACUGGAUACAUCUGGCUUGCUCCUGUUUCUAAAACUGAGCAAAGGUUUUCUUGAUUUGUGACUGUUCCCUCUAUUUGCAUGGCACAGGGUUGGUUACCCAAGAAGCGAUGCCUGCCGUGCUCUAAAAUGGGGAAGAUUAUCUGUGUGCAGCUUGAAAAUGAAGCUGUGUCACAGCACCUGUUCAAUCCCAUUACAAACAAAGCCAGGAUGGCAGGGGUAGAGACAGAGCAGCGCGUACAAGAUGCAGCUUUAUUUUAAGUGACAUUUAAAACCUACUACUAGAAAUAAAUGCUUUCUUCACAAUGCUGUAACAAGGAAGGGAGAACACAUUUUCUAAGCAAAUUGCAGAAGUUCAGGAAAUUCUUGGCUCACUAUUUGUUCCAAGUGAUACAAAAGAGAAGGAAGAGACUCUAUCCAGCAUAAAUCAUAUUUUUAAGAAUUUCCCAAUAUUGCUUCCUGUCUUUGUGCUUGGGCAGCAGAUUGUAUACAGAAAUAAAACAAAUUUGCUUUAUCUUUUCAGAA
Molecule: long non-coding RNA, 1625 nt
Organism: Tyto alba (common barn owl)
Lineage: Eukaryota; Metazoa; Chordata; Aves; Strigiformes; Tytonidae
Exons: 2
Source: RefSeq, a predicted model, not a curated record